AGCUAAACAAAGAAAACAUGGGAGAGCGCGUUCCACGUCCAAAGACCAAGAACAAACCAAAGGUGAACUUUAAAUGCACCUGCUGCAUCCUCCACUCAACAAACCCUACAGAUAGUAUGAAUAGUACAGUAUAGUAAAGUAACAGUGGCCAGAAAUCUAGUUAGUAUGUAGCUAGAGUGAAAACACACAACACUUGAUGCUUCAUCAUUACUUUGACGCAUUGUUUGGUCACAUUUCAAGGAUGCAAAGCGGGUAGCGUGAAAGAAGUGCAAACUGAAGACAAGCAAAGAAGAACUCCACCUGGAAAAGCCACUGCACCGACCUUCCCCGAGCUCCAUGUGAGCUCACUGCCUACAGGUCGCCGUGCAGGGAAAACAAGCCCAUCUGAACUUUCCUUCACCUGUACGUCAGUGCCCUGAAGCAAGUAACCCGGGCGACGGGCGCGAGCGGGGCGGCGAGGGAUAUUUAUGGGCUGUUAAGUCAUAUCUCACACACACACUGACACACACCAUAGCACCGACACACACACACAGCCCAGCAGGAGUUGUUUCACUCCACCUCCACUCUUUGCUUCAUUCUACCUCCAGAGUUCUCCUCCGUUGUUCCCGUGGUACAGCAGGAUGAGACGCCCAAUGGUGCCCAAACGCUGUUAUGUUAUGGUGCAUGACGGUUGUUUCACGUCUGCGGGCGCUGCUCGCGUUCGACCCGAUAAGCCUCUGGAGCGCGUCUACCGACGGCCUCGUCGCUCUGGAUGUGAGGAGUGACGCGAAACCUCGCCUGAUGAUGGGAUCGAGGAUUCCGCUCCUUCUGUGCCCAUUACUGGUGCCACCUUGCAGCUGUUCGCCCUCAAACACCAGUUGUAAAACACACGGGGCCUCUAUGACCAUAAGGGGACGAUAAUGGCCUCUCAAAUCAAUGUCAGCGCCUGUUUAGAUUUAAUUAGCUGCCUUAGAACAGGUUCUCUGUGUGAGUGCAUCCACUUAGAGGCCCCUCAUUGGAUUUUCACGUUCACAAUGGAAAGACUGAAGCGUCAAUUCUAGUAAUCCUAUAUCUGCACUUGCUGGCCUGUCCCUCGAGGGCGAUGCAAUGUAGUGCUCCUCUGUGUGCGCUUAUGUUUUCAUUCAUUUGUCAUAAAACAUAUUUGUUGCAUUUAAAUGUGCCUUGAGUGUCUGAGAGCGAGCGCGUGCUCGCACAGCGGUGGGAUUGAUUGAGCGGUGAAUUGCGAGUCCCCUGGGUGUUUUUUUUUUUUUUUUUUUUUUCUUGAGCGGCUUGUUGUUUCUGUUUUGUGGCUCCACAAUGGGCCUGUGUGUUUUGGGGUGGGAAUUGUAUGCGUGUGGGUGGGACGUGUGCGAGUUUCUGAAUGUACGUACGCGUUUGCAUAAGAGGGCCUGCAACGACAGCACGGCCUGCAUUACGCUUGCCAAGCUCUUGAGCAACCAGGAAUCAAAAUAGAUUUUUUUCCCUCUACCUCGGCUUCGGGUAAUUCCAGUCUCGAAGAAGAGCAGAAUGACUAAGAUUGUGUAGCAUGUCGUGUAUUUGUACAACUGUCAGUUGUGCUUGACACAGACUUGCUGACAGAUUGGAGAUCCAGGAACAUCUCUGUACAGAUUCCUGACAUACCUGUAACUGUAACGCAUGAUGGGCUCAUUCUGAUGCUAAUUAUUUUUGCAACAUCAGCUCUUCUUCCUCCUCUUCGCGCUGCUUGACCAGCUCCGCGAGGCCACCAGGCCCGAGUCGGCUGAGGACAGAGGUGGCCUGGGGAUGAACGCAGGGAUUGUUGAGGGGUGGGGCAGGUUCCUCUACAGCACCUGGCCAUCUGGACAUUACAUCCCCCAGAGCCGUAAUGGACGCCCCCU
Molecule: long non-coding RNA, 1856 nt
Organism: Betta splendens (Siamese fighting fish)
Lineage: Eukaryota; Metazoa; Chordata; Actinopteri; Anabantiformes; Osphronemidae
Source: Ensembl